Long non-coding RNA from Lagopus leucura (white-tailed ptarmigan), 2838 nucleotides. RefSeq lists it as uncharacterized. The record is from RefSeq and is a predicted model, not a curated record. The transcript is spliced from 3 exons. Lineage: Eukaryota; Metazoa; Chordata; Aves; Galliformes; Phasianidae.
GGUGGGACCCGAUAGGUGACGGUCCUCUCGCCACCAAGCGUCCAGUUGCCAGCAGUGGGCUUGGAAGCAGGCUACGCUGCGUGGGAAAUGCACUUGGUGCAGGAAAGGGGAUGUCCUUAGCCAAGGUACUGGAAAACUGAAGGAAAACAGAUGAAACUGCAGAUCCCUCAACAAAAACGUGAGCAGGUGACACUUGACGUGGCAGGUUUGUGGUGCUGGAAAUAUCCAAAUAAUUUUCUAGGACGGUUUCUCUGAUAAAGCAGAUUUUAUUUGCAAUUGCAAUGGCGGGCCUCCUGCAAGCAGGAGAGCCCCGAGAAAGCAGUGUUACAUCUUUUAUCCCCUAUUGCCCGCCGCUGAUCUCUUUCUCCCCUGGUUCCUCAUUGGCUGAGUACUGCAGGUUCACACUCUUUCGUGACGUUUCACUAAUCAUACAAACACCGAGUAGACACAAAUCUUUGCCGCCCAGAUGCAAAUGUCUUCACUGGUUAACUGACUUCUAACAAUUGCUUUCUUAACAAACAAAUUUGGUCGUAACUUUUUGGAUGUCAGUUUUACAGCAUAAACAUGGAAAUAGCCUCAAUCGUUUAAUUACCCCCCCCUAACAUUUGUGCCCCUUCACACUGGUCAUUGUUCUGGUCAUUCACCUGUCCUUGCAUAGAGAUAAGCUCGGAAGGAGGAUAGAGGGGAGUACCUUGGAGCCUGCCUAUGGCAUCCUAACAUUCCCACAAAGUGGGACAGUUCUGCUUUGUAUAAAGGCCCUGACUCCUUGAAAGUUUGUUCAAUGUGUUUUGCUUCUGCCGGUCUAAUGAACAACCUCACAAUCUGUUUCCUAGUUCACAGUACUAUACCCAUAUUGUUUAGAACAUUCAAAAUCUAUUGCAGCUUCGUGAGAAAGUGUUUGUUAGGUAAUUUGGUAACUAUGUUUCUAAAAUAUGUUACUAAUAUGUAUAUGGUAUUCUUACUUUCCACAUCAGCUAUUUCUAAGGGUAUGUUGCAGCUUAAUUCUUUAGAUCAAUUGCCCUUUUCAAUGUUCAGGGCAGAAACAACACUUUCACUUUCCACAGUGGGAAGGUCAGCUUCCCCGUGUUUGUGUGUCAGCCGUCAUCCUCCGUACCGGAGAGGCUUUAUCUGCUCGUCUUGCUUAAUUGCAGCACGUUUCACACGCAUGGACAACCUGUGCAAUAGCACCCUUGAUCCAGACCCCAUUUCCAUAUUGCAUCCCUUCCUCAAUGGCCGGAGGCGUCAUGGGAGCAUGGAGCAGGAAAUAAUUCCCUCUUGGGGUAGUUGAAGCACUAUGAAAGUCUGCCAGGUGAAGCCGUGCGUGCUCCAUCCCCGGAGGUGUUCAGGGUCAGUCUGGAUGGGGCUCUGGGCAGCAUGACCCCGCGGGUGGCAUCCCUGCCCACGGCGGUGGGGCUGGGGUUCUAAGCUCUUUGCUGUCCCUUCCAACCCAAGCCAUUCUAUGACUCUGCGUUUCUGUGACGUAAGCACCGGCCCCACGCAGCCCUGGUGCAGUGCAUCACAAGAGCAGCAGCCUGCGGGGAGCCGCCGCCCGGAAUCUCGGAGCCGUGAGGUCACAAUGCCCCGUCCUAUGACUGUGCUGUGCUGUGCUGUGCCGCAGGCUUCGCUCUGUGCGACACUCACUGUGGCUGCAGCGGUGGUGUUGGAAGCAUGGUGCGAGUGUGGGGGGCCAUGGCCCCUGCCCGCCUUGUCCUCUUCCUCCUACUGAUGGCCAUGUGUUUCCGGGAGACUUGUGCUGCUCCGUGGCGAGCACCGGGAGCAGGUGGGUGGGCAGAGAUGGGACCCAAACCGAGCAGCACUGGCGGCAAGAAGUCAGGCUGUGUCCCCACGGCCCUGUGCCACGCUUCCCUGGGGCCUGCCUUCCACGGGGGUGCUGUCGGGCAGGGGGUGAGGGCCAGCGCAGCAGGAGCCGGGCCGGAGCCCGUGGCAGCGCUGCUCCCCAGAGCCGGCUCCAGCCACGCCGGGCCAUGGCUCUGCUGCUUGCUGGCUGGAGCACAGCCUUCAUCCUGGGAGACGUCCUGGGGAGAGCUGGGAAAAGCGUGAGCAUUUCUGCUCCAGGCUCGUGGUACUCGUGGUACCAUAGGUGAAUGCCAGCUUCCAACACAGAGCCCCGGCCCACGGCCCAGAGGAAGAGACAGGCGUGCCUUCCUCCAGUGCUUCAGGGUGACCUUCCUGUCCGUUAGAGGCCUCCCAGUAAGAAAGCCCCGGGGGGCUGCAUCUUCUUCCACGCGGUCCGUGAGGGAUGUGGCACACGGCUUGGGGCGAGCACUGUGUACGCUGCCAGGUGCCAGCCUACACGUCAUCCUGGCCACUCCGCAACUUUGGAAAUCGUGACCUGAGUCCUUCUGCCAUCCCGUUGCACGACCCGCAUCCAGUGACCGAGGGAGAAGGAGAUCACGCCAUGCAAUGGGAAUUUCUCCCAUCUGUUCUUGAUUCUAGGUGAUGCCCUUGGUGCUCCCUUUGCAAAUGAUCGUUUGGGUUUGGAUUUUGUGCCUGUGCCUGUGGAACAACCCAGAGGCCCUGCUGGUGAAUCCACAGGAGAGUAUCCUGUCUACGAGCCUGAAGGGGAUGCUGGAGGUAAGUCAGCAGGCUUCAUUUCCUCGGUAUUGGAUCAUAUUUGGCUGGGAUAGUUCAGCAAGGGUUCCGCUUUUCAGCGGCCAGCGGGUUCUUCUCCCCGAGAAGCGUGGAUGGCCGUUGUUUCUUGGGUGCUCCGUGCUGUCAGCGUGGUGUUGCCUUCGUCCCUGUAUCUCCGAGGUCUCUCAGCAAGAAGAUUUCAAGGGGCUGAGUGUUCUUCCAUGAGGUCCCUGAGCAUUGUUUCCC